UGGGGAAUAUUGGUCAAUGGGGGAAACCCUGAACCAGCAACGCCGCGUGAAGGAAGAAGGCUUUCGGGUUGUAAACUUCUUUGACAGGGGACGAAAAAAAUGACGGUACCCUGAAAACAAGCCACGGCUAACUACGUGCCAGCAGCCGCGGUAAUACGUAGGUGGACAGCGUUGUCCGGCUUUACUGGGUGUAAAGGGCGUGUAGGCGGGACUGCAAGUCAGAUGUGAAAUCUGGGGGCUUAACCCUCAAACUGCAUGUGAAACGGUGGUUCUUGAGUGAUGGAGAGGCAGGCGGAAGUCCGGGUGUAGCGGUGAAAUGCGUAGAUAUACGGAGGAACACCAGUGGCGAAGGCGGCCUGCUGGACAUUAACUGACGCUGAGGCGCGAAAGCGUGGGGAGCAAACA
This 405-nucleotide ribosomal RNA is filed under the name uncultured prokaryote. RNAcentral's name for it is "bacterial SSU rRNA". It matches the Rfam family "Bacterial small subunit ribosomal RNA", at positions 355 to 774 of the family's 1533-position model. The record is from RNAcentral.